GGCUAUAGCGCAGCUGGUAGCGCAUCUCCAUGGCAUGGAGAGGGUCGGGGGUUCGAAUCC
This 60-nucleotide transfer RNA is filed under the name Bifidobacterium breve. RNAcentral's name for it is "tRNA-Ala". It matches the Rfam family "tRNA", at positions 3 to 60 of the family's 71-position model. Rfam says of the family: Transfer RNA (tRNA) molecules are approximately 80 nucleotides in length. Their secondary structure includes four short double-helical elements and three loops (D, anti-codon, and T loops). The record is from RNAcentral. Lineage: Bacteria; Bacillati; Actinomycetota; Actinomycetes; Bifidobacteriales; Bifidobacteriaceae.